ACAACGGGGUAACAGGAAAUACUGAGUAAAACUGAGAGAAGAAACACCACUUUUAAGUACAUUUUUUUUGUAUUUUAUUUAUAAAUUUAUGGUCAUGUCGUUUGCAUCGGAGUCUUUUCUUGUGAUCGCCGUCGUUGCCGUGCUAACAACAGCCCUGCCUACAUUUGGAUGUGGUGUCCUUCCAGACUUCAUAGUGACCUCUAACUGUGCAAUAUUCACUGUCUCUCAGUGUGUGCUCUCUGCCCCAUCAGGACUUCCUGUGUGGGAGGAAGGUGUAUGUGCCAGAUUCUAAGUGCAUUAGAGAGAUUUUGCCUCCGAGGCUUGGACCAGGAACAGCCACGCCUGACCUCCACCUUUGCGGAAUGGAAGACAAAGAGAGUAAAAGAGGCAAAAUAGUACCAGCCUCGAGGGAGAUCUUUUUUAUUUUUCAAUAGUGCCUGUUUAUUGGUCACUACAUUAAAGUUAACUAAAAUGAUUACAGUAAAGUAACUAGGAUAACUUGUAACAUCUGUGUAUUUCUUUGAGUGUUCCUCAUUUGUCAAUCAUUAUGCAUAAUCGUAUUAAAGUUAAUC
Puntigrus tetrazona (Sumatra barb) is the source of this 572-nucleotide long non-coding RNA. RefSeq lists it as uncharacterized. The record is from RefSeq and is a predicted model, not a curated record. NCBI's taxonomy places the organism in Eukaryota, Metazoa, Chordata, Actinopteri, Cypriniformes, Cyprinidae. The transcript has 3 exons.